GGUUGUGGCUCAGGGGUAGAGCGCACGCCUAGCAUGUGUGAGGCACUGGGUUCGAUCCUCAGCACCA
RNAcentral lists this transfer RNA (67 nucleotides) under Marmota monax (woodchuck). RNAcentral's name for it is "tRNA.Ala". It matches the Rfam family "tRNA". Rfam says of the family: Transfer RNA (tRNA) molecules are approximately 80 nucleotides in length. Their secondary structure includes four short double-helical elements and three loops (D, anti-codon, and T loops). The record is from RNAcentral. Lineage: Eukaryota; Metazoa; Chordata; Mammalia; Rodentia; Sciuridae.